Molecule: ribosomal RNA, 492 nt
Filed under: uncultured bacterium
Lineage: Bacteria
Description: partial 16S ribosomal RNA
Rfam family: Bacterial small subunit ribosomal RNA
Source: RNAcentral
AGUGAACGCUGGCGGUAGGCCUAACACAUGCAAGUCGAACGGCAGCACAGUAAGAGCUUGCUCUUACGGGUGGCGAGUGGCGGACGGGUGAGGAAUACAUCGGAAUCUACUUUUUCGUGGGGGAUAACGUAGGGAAACUUACGCUAAUACCGCAUACGACCUACGGGUGAAAGCAGGGGAUCUUCGGACCUUGCGCGAUUGAAUGAGCCGAUGUCGGAUUAGCUAGUUGGCGGGGUAAAGGCCCACCAAGGCGACGAUCCGUAGCUAGUCUGAGAGGAUGAUCAGCCACACUGGAACUGAGACACGGUCCAGACUCCUACGGGAGGCAGCAGUGGGGAAUAUUGGACAAAGGGCGCAAGCCUGAUCCAGCCAUACCGCGUGGGUGAAGAAGGCCUUCGGGUUGUAAAGCCCUUUUGUUGGGAAAGAAAAGCAGCAGGUUAAUACCCCGCUGUUCUGACGGUACCCAAAGAAUAAGCACCGGCUAACUUCGUG